This 490-nucleotide ribosomal RNA is filed under the name uncultured bacterium. Its description in RNAcentral is "partial 16S ribosomal RNA". It matches the Rfam family "Bacterial small subunit ribosomal RNA", at positions 30 to 507 of the family's 1533-position model. The record is from RNAcentral.
AUUGAACGCUGGCGGCAGGCCUAACACAUGCAAGUCGAACGGUAACAGGAAGAAGCUUGCUUCUUUGCUGACGAGUGGCGGACGGGUGAGUAAUGUCUGGGAAACUGCCUGAUGGAGGGGGAUAACUACUGGAAACGGUAGCUAAUACCGCAUAAUGUCGCAAGAUCAAAGAGGGGGACCUUCGGGCCUCUUGCCAUCGGAUGUGCCCAGAUGGGAUUAGCUAGUAGGUGGGGUAACGGCUCACCUAGGCGACGAUCCCUAGCUGGUCUGAGAGGAUGACCAGCCACACUGGAACUGAGACACGGUCCAGACUCCUACGGGAGGCAGCAGUGGGGAAUAUUGCACAAUGGGCGCAAGCCUGAUGCAGCUAUGCCGCGUGUAUGAAGAAGGCCUUCGGGUUGUAAAGUACUUUCAGCGGGGAGGAAGGGAGUAAAGUUAAUACCUUUGCUCAUUGACGUUACCCGCAGAAGAAGCACCGGCUAACUCCGUG